This 377-nucleotide ribosomal RNA is filed under the name uncultured eukaryote. RNAcentral describes it as "partial 18S ribosomal RNA". It matches the Rfam family "Eukaryotic small subunit ribosomal RNA", at positions 592 to 976 of the family's 1831-position model. The record is from RNAcentral.
CAAUAGCGUAUAUUUAAGUUGUUGCAGUUAAAAAGCUCGUAGUUGGGUUUCGGGUGGGUGUCAGCGGUCCGGCUCUGCUGUGUACUGCUGGUGCCUUCCUUUCUGUCGGGGACGGGCUCUUGGACUUCACUGUCCGGGACUCGGAGUCGGCGAGGUUACUGUGAGUAAAUUAGAGUGUUCAAAGCAAGCGUUCGCUAUGAAUACGUUAGCAUGGAAUAACAUGAUAGGACUCUGGCUUAUCUUGUUGGUCUGUAAGACCGGAGUAAUGAUUAAGAGGGACAGUCGGGGGCAUUCGUAUUUCGUUGUCAGAGGUGAAAUUCUUGGAUUUACGAAAGACGAACUUCUGCGAAAGCAUUUGCCAAGGAUGUUUUCAUUAA